UGGGGAAUAUUGGACAAUGGGCGAAAGCCUGAUCCAGCCAUGCCGCGUGUGUGAAGAAGGUCUUCGGAUUGUAAAGCACUUUAAGUUGGGAGGAAGGGCAGUAAGCGAAUACCUUGCUGUUUUGACGUUACCGACAGAAUAAGCACCGGCUAACUCUGUGCCAGCAGCCGCGGUAAUACAGAGGGUGCAAGCGUUAAUCGGAUUUACUGGGCGUAAAGCGUGCGUAGGCGGCUAAUUGAGUCGGAUGUGAAAUCCCCGAGCUUAACUGGAGAAUUGCAUUCGAUACUGGUUAGCUAGAGUGUGGGAGAGGAUGGUAGAAUUCCAGGUGUAGCGGUGAAAUGCGUAGAGAUCUGGAGGAAUACCGAUGGCGAAGGCAGCCAUCUGGCCUAACACUGCCGCUGAGGUACGAACGCAUGAGGAGCAAACAGG
This 429-nucleotide ribosomal RNA is filed under the name Pseudomonadota bacterium. RNAcentral describes it as "Proteobacteria bacterium partial 16S ribosomal RNA". It matches the Rfam family "Bacterial small subunit ribosomal RNA", at positions 355 to 776 of the family's 1533-position model. The record is from RNAcentral. Lineage: Bacteria; Pseudomonadati; Pseudomonadota.